This 322-nucleotide ribosomal RNA is filed under the name uncultured Chloroflexota bacterium. RNAcentral's name for it is "bacterial SSU rRNA". It matches the Rfam family "Bacterial small subunit ribosomal RNA", at positions 29 to 351 of the family's 1533-position model. Lineage: Bacteria; Bacillati; Chloroflexota. The record is from RNAcentral.
AAUAAACGUUGGCGGUGCGCCUUAUGCAUGCAAGUCAAACGGGGUUAUGGUCUUCGGAUUGUAACCUAGUGGCGAACGGCUGAGUAACACGUAAGUAACCUGCCUUGGAGUAGGAAAUAACUUGCCGAAAGGCGAGCUAAUGUCCUAUGUGGUAAUGAAGCGUAAGCUUCAUUAUUAAAGCCUUCGGGCGCUACAAGAGGGGCUUGCGUCUGGUUAGCUAGUUGGUAGGGUAAUGGCCUACCAAGGCGAUGAUCAGUAGCUGGUCUGAGAGGAUGGCCAGCCAGAUGGGGACUGGGACACGGCCCAACUCCUACGGGUGCUG